CGGAGGGUGCAAGCGUUAAUCGGAAUUACUGGGCGUAAAGCGCACGCAGGCGGUCAAUUAAGUCAGAUGUGAAAGCCCCGAGCUUAACUUGGGAAUUGCAUCUGAAACUGGUUGGCUAGAGUCUUGUAGAGGGGGUAGAAUUCCACGUGUAGCGGUGAAAUGCGUAGAGAUGUGGAGGAAUACCGGUGGCGAAGGCGGCCCCCUGGACAAAGACUGACGCUCAGGUGCGAAAGCGUGGGGAGCAAACAGGAUU
RNAcentral lists this ribosomal RNA (253 nucleotides) under uncultured bacterium. RNAcentral's name for it is "partial 16S ribosomal RNA". It matches the Rfam family "Bacterial small subunit ribosomal RNA", at positions 526 to 779 of the family's 1533-position model. The record is from RNAcentral.